GACGAACGCUGGCGGCGUGCUUAACACAUGCAAGUCGAACGGAAAGGCCCUGCUUUUGUGGGGUGCUCGAGUGGCGAACGGGUGAGUAACAAGUGAGUAACCUGCCCUUGACUUUGGGAUAACUUCAGGAAACUGGGGCUAAUACCGGAUAGGAGCUCCUGCUGCAUGGUGGGGGUUGGAAAGUUUCGGCGGUUGGGGAUGGACUCGCGGCUUAUCAGCUUGUUGGUGGGUAGUGGCUUACCAAGGCUUUGACGGGUAGCCGGCCUGAGAGGGUGACCGGCCACAUUGGGACUGAGAUACGGCCCAGACUCCUACGGGAGGCAGCAGUGGGGAAUAUUGCACAAUGGGCGGAAGCCUGAUGCAGCAACGCCGCGUGCGGGAUGACGGCCUUCGGGUUGUAAACCGCUUUCGCCUGUGACGAAGCGUGAGUGACGGUAAUGGGUAAAGAAGCACCGGCUAACUACGUG
RNAcentral lists this ribosomal RNA (467 nucleotides) under uncultured bacterium. RNAcentral describes it as "partial 16S ribosomal RNA". It matches the Rfam family "Bacterial small subunit ribosomal RNA", at positions 28 to 507 of the family's 1533-position model. The record is from RNAcentral.